GACGAACGCUGGCGGCGUGCUUAACACAUGCAAGUCGAACGGAAAGGCCCUGCUUUUGUGGGGUGCUCGAGUGGCGAACGGGUGAGUAACACGUGAGUAACCUGCCCUUGACUUUGGGAUAACUUCAGGAAAUUGGGGCUAAUACCGGAUAGGAGCUCCUGCUGCAUGGUGGGGGUUGGAAAGUUUCGGCGGUUGGGGAUGGACUCGCGGCUUAUCAGCUUGUUGGUGGGGUAGUGGCUUACCAAGGCUUUGACGAGUAGCCGGCCUGAGAGGGUGACCGGCCACAUUGGGACUGAGAUACGGCCCAGACUCCUACGGGAGGCAGCAGUGGGGAAUAUUGCACAAUGGGCGGAAGCCUGAUGCAGCAACGCCGCGUGCGGGAUGACGGCCUUCGGGUUGUAAACCGCUUUCGCCUGUGACGAAGCGUGAGUGACGGUAAUGGGUAAAGAAGCACCGGCUAACUACGUG
Molecule: ribosomal RNA, 468 nt
Filed under: uncultured bacterium
Lineage: Bacteria
Description: partial 16S ribosomal RNA
Rfam family: Bacterial small subunit ribosomal RNA
Source: RNAcentral